UGGGGUGCAGCACAGUGGUAAAGCCCUUGGCUAGCAUGCAGGAGGCCCUGGGUUCCGUUCCCAGCACCACAA
RNAcentral lists this transfer RNA (72 nucleotides) under Marmota monax (woodchuck). It matches the Rfam family "tRNA". Rfam says of the family: Transfer RNA (tRNA) molecules are approximately 80 nucleotides in length. Their secondary structure includes four short double-helical elements and three loops (D, anti-codon, and T loops). Lineage: Eukaryota; Metazoa; Chordata; Mammalia; Rodentia; Sciuridae. The record is from Rfam by way of RNAcentral.